This 663-nucleotide ribosomal RNA is filed under the name uncultured Actinomycetes bacterium. RNAcentral's name for it is "SSU rRNA". It matches the Rfam family "Bacterial small subunit ribosomal RNA", at positions 245 to 915 of the family's 1533-position model. The record is from RNAcentral. Lineage: Bacteria; Bacillati; Actinomycetota; Actinomycetes.
CUUGUUGGUGGGGUGAUGGCCUACCAAGGCGACGACGGGUAGCCGGCCUGAGAGGGCGACCGGCCACACUGGGACUGAGACACGGCCCAGACUCCUACGGGAGGCAGCAGUGGGGAAUAUUGCGCAAUGGGCGGAAGCCUGACGCAGCGACGCCGCGUGGGGGAUGACGGCCUUCGGGUUGUAAACCUCUUUCGACUUCGACGAAGCCUUCGGGUGACGGUAGGGGUGGAAGAAGCACCGGCCAACUACGUGCCAGCAGCCGCGGUAACACGUAGGGUGCGAGCGUUGUCCGGAAUUAUUGGGCGUAAAGAGCUCGUAGGCGGUGUGUCGCGUCGGCCGUGAAAACCUGUGGCUUAACUAUGGGCUUGCGGUCGAUACGGGCAUCACUGGAGUUCGGCAGGGGAGACUGGAAUUCCUGGUGUAGCGGUGAAAUGCGCAGAUAUCAGGAGGAACACCGGUGGCGAAGGCGGGUCUCUGGGCCGAUACUGACGCUGAGGAGCGAAAGCGUGGGGAGCGAACAGGAUUAGAUACCCUGGUAGUCCACGCCGUAAACGUUGGGCGCUAGGUGUGGGGGCCAUUCCACGGUCUCUGUGCCGUAGCUAACGCAUUAAGCGCCCCGCCUGGGGAGUACGGCCGCAAGGCUAAAACUCAAAGGAAUUGACG